RNAcentral lists this ribosomal RNA (497 nucleotides) under uncultured bacterium. RNAcentral's name for it is "partial 16S ribosomal RNA". It matches the Rfam family "Bacterial small subunit ribosomal RNA", at positions 28 to 507 of the family's 1533-position model. The record is from RNAcentral.
GAUGAACGCUGGCGGCGUGCCUAAUACAUGCAAGUCGAGCGAACGGACGAGAAGCUUGCUUCUCUGAUGUUAGCGGCGGACGGGUGAGUAACACGUGGAUAACCUACCUAUAUUACUGGGAUAACUUCGGGAAACCGGAGCUAAUACCGGAUCAUAUUUUCAACCGCAUGGUUCAAAAGUGAAAGACAGUCUUCCUGUCACUUAUAGAUGGAUCCGCGCUGCAUUAGCUAGUUGGUAAGGUAACGGCUUACCAAGGCAACGAUGCAUAGCCGACCUGAGAGGGUGAUCGGCCACACUGGAACUGAGACACGGUCCAGACUCCUACGGGAGGCAGCAGUAGGGAAUCUUCCGCAAUGGGCGAAAGCCUGACGGAGCAACGCCGCGUGAGUGAUGAAGGUCUUCGGAUCGUAAAACUCUGUUAUUAGGGAAGAACAUAUGUGUAAGUAACUGUGCACAUCUUGACGGUACCUAAUCAGAAAGCCACGGCUAACUACGUG